CAGCCGCCACGGUAAUACGUAGGGUGCAAGCGUUAUCCGGAAUUAUUGGGCGUAAAGAGCUCGUAGGCGGUCUGUCGCGUCUGCUGUGAAAACCGGAGGCUCAACCUCCGGCCUGCAGUGGGUACGGGCAGACUAGAGUGCGGUAGGGGAGAUUGGAAUUCCUGGUGUAGCGGUGGAAUGCGCAGAUAUCAGGAGGAACACCGAUGGCGAAGGCAGAUCUCUGGGCCGUAACUGACGCUGAGGAGCGAAAGCAUGGGGAGCGAACAGGAUUAGAUACCCCCGUAGUCCCUGUCUCUUAUAC
This 301-nucleotide ribosomal RNA is filed under the name uncultured bacterium. RNAcentral's name for it is "partial 16S ribosomal RNA". It matches the Rfam family "Bacterial small subunit ribosomal RNA", at positions 509 to 807 of the family's 1533-position model. The record is from RNAcentral.